ACGCUAUCUCUGUCAAUAACCUCGCAAGCGUAGAGAUACAUAAAACUCGCAAGGGGAAAUAUUCCCUCUAACCUGAGCCACACCUGAGCUAAGGCGAUGCUACGCUACGUUUUGACCGGCUGAAAUUAUUCUGUACUAUUUGAUGUGAAGUCGAUUUUCUAUAAAAUUUAAUGAAAAAAUGUUAUAGAACGUCGAGGCACUCCGUAAAUCGUAGGAAAACGAAUAAUUCAUUGUAAUAUCACUUCUACUUUGCGCAAAGAUAUCGCGGUUAGUGCUUUCGUACGAGAGAAUUAGUUUUCCAAAUUGAUUCGUCGGAAAAUUACAACAUUACGAUUGGAAAACUAAAUAAUUGUUGGUAUUUUUGACUAGUGGGAAUUUUUCAUCACAAUUUUGAUUAAGGUGUCUAUCUCAGUGGUGUUACGAAUCACAGAGAAAAGAAAUAAAUUUCCACAUAGAACGAGAGUUUAUUUAAUAUUUUCGUUUUUUAUUUGACAAACCAUAGUUACAAUUGCCAACAAUUUCGAAUUCUACGAUGAUGAUAGAAGAGUGUAGUUUCGCUUUUAUGAAGCAAAGUUCUUCAUUUUUUACUAGUUGUCCAAUUGACGCGUGAUAGAUACUUUGUCACCUAACAAUGGCAAUAAAUUUGGAUAUCAAGCUCAAGAGAGCCAACAAAAUAUAUCACGAAGGGGAAAUUGUGUCGGGAAUAAUACUGCUCAAAUGCAACUCUGAUGUUAAGCACGAUGGCAUUUUCCUCACUAUGGAAGGUUCGGUGAACCUUCAGUUAAGCUCAAAAAAUGUUGGAAUAUUCGAGGCGUUUUAUAACUCUGUCAAGCCGAUCCAGCUGGUGCAGUACACGCUGGACGUAGCCCCAGCAGGUAAAAUACCAAGUGGCAAAACUGAGAUUCCUUUUGAGUUGCCGCUGAAGCCAAGAGGCAACAAACCUCUGUACGAAACUUACCAUGGGGUAUUCGUCAGCAUUCAGUAUUUGGUUCGCUGCGAUAUCAAGCGAAGCUUCCUGGCAAAAGAUGUUAGCAAGUCUUUGGAAUUCAUCAUGGAAGAUAAGCCGGUGAAUUUACAGUUGCAAAAAGCUCACUCUAAAAUAGUAUUUUACAAAAUAACACCAGAGUCGCUUCAAAACAUCAGAGAAAGAACUGGCGUACCAAAAUUCCUGAUAUCUGGAAGACUUGACUCUGUCUGCUGUAAAUUAACUCAGCCCUUAACCGGAGAGGUGAUUAUUGAACACUGCGAAGUACCCAUAAAGUCGAUUGAGCUUCAGUUGGUGAGAGUGGAAACAUGCGGAUGUGCGGAAGGAUAUUCUAGAGAUGCUACGGAGAUACAAAAUAUACAAAUAGGAGAAGGUAACGUUUGCACUGGGCUAGCGAUACCAGUUUACAUGAUAUUCCCACGCCUGUUUACCUGCCCGACAUUGAAUACAAGUAAUUUCAAAGUUGAGUUCGAAGUAAACCUAAUAGUCGUAUUUGAGGACGACUAUUUGGUCACAGAAAACUUUCCAAUCACUCUAACAAGGCACUAAACGUGCGUCACCAACUAUCACAGUAUGAAUCUGAUGAUUUUCAUCUAUAAUUAUUAUAUCAAUGACAGUCUGGAUGAUAAACUCUGGAAAUCGUUAAAGUACGGUGUGAUAAAUCUCAACCCAGUCGACUACUGGAAUCCAACUUUUUGGAUAAACAGCCUGCAAUACUUUUCAACGUACUUAUUGUGGGUCAGUCCGACAGAUGCCAGCAGAACCACAUAGCCAAGAACAAAAGUGAGCAGCUUGUGCCUUCUGAACCAGGCAACCAACCCUCGUCCUUCCUUGUGCCUGAAAGCAAUGAAGAGUGAUUAAAAAAUAUCUGAUUUAUCUCUGAGAAACUGCUUGGAUUUUUGUUGUUGAUCAUGCACGAAACGCAAUGACAAGUAUCAGAAUGUUGCUAAGACGACAAAAUGGAUUGGAUGAAAAGCCAAAGUCAGAUUUUUAUUCGCGCGCUAGACCGCAAAGGAAGUUGACGUUUUUUUCAUCAUUCCCAUUUACCUUGAAGAAGAAAACUCUUGGCUGUAAACCAGCAGAUAUCUGAUACGAACUAAAUCGCUAUUUACAACGAGGUAGUACUUGUUUGGAACUUUGCCACUCAUUGCAUCGAUUACAGUGUUUCUUGCUGUAUCCUCUAAAUAAGAAAGAAAAAGGUGAUUGAUUAGCUCACACAACGCGAUGCAGCUCAAUUGACUGCCGUGCAUGCUGCCGCCCCAUCCGUAUCCAACAGGACUGUAAGGCAAGCUGACACCCAGUUCGCUAGAGAAGUAGAUGCCUGUGCCGUAGAGAGAUCUCUGGAUAGUAUAACAAAAGCAGCAAAAUAAACAUCGACAAUGAUGCAAGUGCUUGAAGCAGAACAACUAUGCCAACCUUGCACAUGUUCUGUUGUAAGCCGUGGUGGAUUAUUGAGUGGAAAUUCUCAAGUCGACUGCCGUGGUAAGCGUAGAGGGUCGUGUGUCCCUGUGAAGCUGUUCUCCACCUCUCCUCAAACAGGGACUGCUUGGUGCUCGCAACUUGGAAUAUCAAAUUAGGAGGUGCUACUGCCAUUUCGGAUGGAACACGCUUCAGCACAGAGUCAUACUGCAACAUCAUUGUCAGCGAA
RNAcentral lists this unclassified non-coding RNA (2633 nucleotides) under Neodiprion lecontei (redheaded pine sawfly). RNAcentral's name for it is "vacuolar protein sorting-associated protein 26C, transcript variant X5". The record is from RNAcentral. Lineage: Eukaryota; Metazoa; Arthropoda; Insecta; Hymenoptera; Diprionidae.